Long non-coding RNA from Rhinopithecus roxellana (golden snub-nosed monkey), 441 nucleotides. RefSeq lists it as uncharacterized. The transcript has 3 exons. Lineage: Eukaryota; Metazoa; Chordata; Mammalia; Primates; Cercopithecidae. The record is from RefSeq and is a predicted model, not a curated record.
CAAAGGGCUCCCUUCUCACCACAUCUUGAGGGCUUCCAAAAUCUCUAAUCCUUCCACAACGUGGACUCUUUAUGUUCUGCAUAUGACAGGGAAAGAUGAACCUAUCUGGAAGCCAGUUAACAAGAGUGCCUGGGAAUGGAGUUUCCAGGCACGAGCUCCCUGCAUAUGGAGCGGAACAGAAGAAAGAUGGCAAUGAAUCGAGAGCAAAACGUAAAUGACUGCAGCAGACUCCUCAGCAAGUUGGCUGCAUGAAGACGAUGAGGGCGAUAGGACAGCACAUCUUCCUGCUUUGGGGAGCUUUUCACCAUGAGCCGAGCCAGAGGCAAAGCAAUGAACAAAGACAGGAUUUCAAUAAGGAAAACUCAAGAGCUGAAUUAUGUUGAAAAGACCUCGCAAAACCAAAUGCCUAGCUUUGUCCUCCAGACCUCAAAAUAUUUUGAA